Non-coding RNA from Cherax quadricarinatus, 472 nucleotides. The record is from RefSeq and is a predicted model, not a curated record. Lineage: Eukaryota; Metazoa; Arthropoda; Malacostraca; Decapoda; Parastacidae.
GGAAGUUGAACUGGACUGGAGAAGAGAUGGCGUGAGAGUGGACGUUGGAGUGUGUUUCCAUUAUAGGGACGUCACAGUGGACGAUACAGGACUAACACAGUACCAGCUGGUGUUGGUGGACUCAAAGGGACGCUGGCGCCGCGUCCAUGGAGCAUCACAUACCAGGGAGGGUCGCCUAUGUUUCUCAAGAGUAACUCUGGACUCCCGUCAGUUCAACACUGCUGAAGAAGUAACUGUGUUGGUCAUCAAGAGAGACGUGGAUGGUCGUACUGUCCUGGCCAGCGGGGAGUCUCACGUAUUCUUCAUCAGGGGGAGCGUGGACAGCAGAGGGAGCAGUGUAAGCUGGAACAACCCUGGGAACUACACCUUCACGCUGUACAAGGGAGGUCAGCCACACCCUCUUGCAACCUCCCUCACCUGCCACACCUGCACUCACAGCCUCACCACUCAGGCACUGGGAGAGGCCCUGAGG